GAUGAAGAACGCAGCGAAAUGCGAUACUUGGUGUGAAUUGCAGAAUCCCGUGAACCAUCGAGUUUUUGAACGCAAGUUGCGCCCGAAGCCGUUAGGCCGAGGGCACGCCUGCCUGGGCGUCACAUAUCGUUGCCUGAUGCCAGUUUCCUCGUGAUGGGUGACUGUGCAGGGCGAAUGAUGGCUUCCCGUGAGCAUUGUUGCCUCAUGGUUGGUUGAAAAUUGAGUCCUUGGUAGGGAGCGCCGUGAUAGAUGGUGGUUGAGUGACGAACGAGACCCAAUCAUGUGAGACCCCUACCGAAUUUGGCCUUCAUGACCCACAUGCGUCUUUGGAACGCUCAUGACGAGACCUCAGGUCAGGCGGGGCUACCCGCUGAGUUUAAGCAUAUCAAUAAGCGGAGGA
RNAcentral lists this unclassified non-coding RNA (400 nucleotides) under soil metagenome. RNAcentral's name for it is "partial contains 5.8S ribosomal RNA, internal transcribed spacer 2, and large subunit ribosomal RNA". The stretch from base 1 to 122 matches the Rfam family "5.8S ribosomal RNA", at positions 35 to 154 of the family's 154-position model. The record is from RNAcentral.